CCUACGGGAGGCAGCAGUGAGGAAUAUUGGUCAAUGGACGGGAGCCUGAACCAGCCAAGUCGCGUGAAGGAUGACUGCCCUACGGGUUGUAAACUGCUUUUAUAAAGGCAUAAAGUGAAGCACGUGUGCCCUUUUGUAUGUACUUUACGAAUAAGGAUCGGCUAACUCCGUGCCAGCAGCCGCGGUAAUACGGAGGAUCCGAGCGUUAUCCGGAUUUAUUGGGUUUAAAGGGAGCGUAGAUGGGUUGUUAAGUCAGGUGUGAAAGUUUGCGGCUAAACCGUAAAAUUGCCAUUGAUACUGGCAGCCUUGAGUGCAGUUGAGGUAGGCGGAAUUCGUGGUGUAGCGGUGAAAUGCUUAGAUAUCACGCAGAACUCCGAUUGCGAAGGCAGCCUACUAAACUGCCACUGACAUUGAGGCUCGAAAGUGUGGGUAUCAAACAGGAUUAGAUACCCCUGUAGUC
RNAcentral lists this ribosomal RNA (460 nucleotides) under uncultured bacterium. RNAcentral describes it as "partial 16S ribosomal RNA". It matches the Rfam family "Bacterial small subunit ribosomal RNA", at positions 338 to 795 of the family's 1533-position model. The record is from RNAcentral.